Molecule: ribosomal RNA, 594 nt
Filed under: uncultured Bacteroidota bacterium
Lineage: Bacteria; Pseudomonadati; Bacteroidota
Description: bacterial SSU rRNA
Rfam family: Bacterial small subunit ribosomal RNA
Source: RNAcentral
CAACCUGCCGAUGACUCGGGGAUAGCCUUUCGAAAGAAAGAUUAAUACCCGAUGGCAUAAUUCUUCCGCAUGGUAGAACUAUUAAAGAAUUUCGGUCAUCGAUGGGGAUGCGUUCCAUUAGGUUGUUGGCGGGGUAACGGCUCACCAAGCCUUCGAUGGAUAGGGGUUCUGAGAGGAAGGUCCCCCACAUUGGAACUGAGACACGGUCCAAACUCCUACGGGAGGCAGCAGUGAGGAAUAUUGGUCAAUGGACGAGAGUCUGAACCAGCCAAGUAGCGUGAAGGAUGACUGCCCUAUGGGUUGUAAACUUCUUUUAUACGGGAAUAAAGUGAGGCUCGUGUGCCUUUUUGUAUGUACCGUAUGAAUAAGGAUCGGCUAACUCCGUGCCAGCAGCCGCGGUAAUACGGAGGAUCCGAGCGUUAUCCGGAUUUAUUGGGUUAAAAGGGAGCGUAGGCGGACGCUUAAGUCAGUUGUGAAAGUUUGCGGCUCAACCGUAAAAUUGCAGUUGAUACUGGGUGUCUUGAGUACAGUAGAGGCAGGCGGAAUUCGUGGUGUAGCGGUGAAAUGCUUAGAUAUCACGAAGAACUCCGAUUG